RNAcentral lists this unclassified non-coding RNA (262 nucleotides) under rhizosphere metagenome. RNAcentral describes it as "partial ribosomal RNA internal transcribed spacer region". The record is from RNAcentral.
GAAUGAACUUGGCGUGGUUGUCGCUGGCCCUCUCGGGGGUAUGUGCACGCCCGUCAUCUUUAUCUUUCCACCUGUGCACACUUUGUAGACUUGAAUAGUAUUUUCUGAGGUAACUCAGUCGGGAGGAUUGCUGGUGUCAUCAGCUCUCCUUGCAUUAUUCGAGUCUAUGUUUUUCAUAUACCCCAAAAAUGUAACAGAAUGUAUCAUUGGGCCUUGUGCCUAUAAACUAAAUACAACUUUCAGCAACGGAUCUCUUGGCUCU